This 1706-nucleotide long non-coding RNA is filed under the name Schizosaccharomyces pombe (fission yeast). Lineage: Eukaryota; Fungi; Ascomycota; Schizosaccharomycetes; Schizosaccharomycetales; Schizosaccharomycetaceae. The record is from RNAcentral.
UUAGAGAUUGCAACGGAUAAAAUUUUCAAUCAUCUUAUUUUACUAUGGAUUUCAUCACUUCAUCUACUGUAAACAUAGACGUCUUGUUGGCAAAGUCAUAACAAUCUGGUUUGUCGUCUAUACAAACUUGUGCGUCAAAAGUGAUAUUUUCUAUUCCCUUGAAGAGCCAAGCAUUUAUAAAGUACGGAUUCUUACCAUUUGUAUAAGCGAAAUAUAAUGUAGUACCACAAUUUUUACAGAAAAUUCUUUCAGCAAAUGAAGAUGAAGCGUAUUUACCUACAUUCUCAUUUUCAGAGACACUGGGUUUUUGAGUACAAGAAAAUGCCAUAAAUGGACUGGAACACCAUAUUCUGCAAGUUUCACAAUGACAACAACUAAGUUUAGGUUCUUCAAUUAUUGCCUUUAGGUGAAUAGCUUUGCACAAACAGUUGCCUUCGUAUUCAGGCAUGAUUUGUUGCUAAAAUGUUCGUUGUAGUGGAAGGAUUGAACGAUCAUCAUAUUUGACUAUCCCGCAUCUUUUAUAUCAAAUUGUGUAGCUGAAGUGACAGGAAUAAUGUUCUUAUGAUUUCAUGAUUCGGAUACCACAUAACCGUGGCCAUCCUAGAUAGCAGUAAAUGAUUAAAACAUAGAACAUGUGGUUUGCAUUGAUGGCAGGUUUCUUUAAUAAUGUGAUUGUUUUUACAUUUUUUGGUUUAUUAGAAGGUGGAAUUGUAUAAGCAUUAAAUUGCAAUCUAGACAGUGAAUCCUAGGUAUAUGAUAUGCCUCACGAAUUUGAUGGAUGCUUUACAAAACCGAGUUACAAGCAAAUUCCGUAGAUUACAAUAUAUUAAACAACCGCUAAUAUCGUGACAAUAUCUUCAACUGAUGCGUGGGACAAAGCUAGCGUGGGUUUGACUCAUAAAAUAAAGCAUAUAUAAAGACUAUAAAUCAUGGGAACUUUGAUUCAGGCGUCUUCAAAAUAGUACCCGGCAUGAUUUUUACAUUUAGGAUUGAAUGGAUGAUUACAGUAUUUGCAAUGAACAGUAGAACGGUAUUCCUCUACUGUCAGUGAAUUCUUGCAAGCUCCGCAAAUUACACAAGGAAUGUGAAACUUUGCUUUCCUCCAAGGUAAAAACGGAUGUGUAUUGAGUUCAUCAUGACAUUGAAAACACGCAUAAAACUUUUCACACUGUCCACAUCUUAAUGCCACGACGUCGGCUUUAGAAUGAUAAUGAAAACAACGAGUUUCAUUAUCGACGAGUUUCCCAUAUACGUUAGUUGAAGAACGAGCCGUAGGAGUUUGCAUAAUUGCGAAUAAGUUGAUUUUAGCAACAGUUUUACAUGUACAAGGGAAGUAUUCGGAAUGUUUAUACCACAAUUUGGAAAAGUGUUUGCUAUGAUUAGUUAUAUUUCAAAACAACCAUUCGCAUAAACGAAUUGAUAUAAUUCGAAAAGUGCUCUAAACGACAAAUUUUGCUAUACUUAAGUGGAAAUGAAAGUGUUUUUUUAUGACCACUACUACUAGUUCAAGUGAGUCAGUAACAAAAACUUUUUGGUUAUUACGAUCCCAAAUUCUGCAAAGUAAGAGAUAGAUGGCUAAGAAGUUAGAAAGCUAUGCAAGAUAUCAAAAACGAAAUCAUCAGUACUAAAUCUUAAGUGAAAUAUGAACUAUUAAUGUUGGAAAAAAAUCGACACCAGCAGGAUUUGAACCUGCGCGCGGAGACCGC